GGGAAUCUUCCGCAAUGGGCGAAAGCCUGACGGAGCAAUACCGCGUGAGGGAGGAAGGCUCUUGGGUUGUAAACCUCUUUUCUCAGGGAAGAACAGAAUGACGGUACCUGAGGAAUAAGCAUCGGCUAACUCCGUGCCAGCAGCCGCGGUAAUACGGAGGAUGCAAGCGUUAUCCGGAAUGAUUGGGCGUAAAGAGUCCGUAGGUGGCAUUGAAAGUCUGCUGUUAAAGAGUCUAGCUCAACUAGAUAAGAGCAGUGGAAACUACAAAGCUAGAGUUUGGUCGGGGCAGAAGGAAUUCCUGGUGUAGCGGUGAAAUGCGUAGAUAUCAGGAAGAACACCGGUGGCGAAGGCGUUCUGCUAGGCCGAGACUGACACUGAGGGACGAAAGCUAGGGGAGCGAAUGGGAUUAGAUACCCCAGUAGUCAAUCGAA
RNAcentral lists this ribosomal RNA (431 nucleotides) under uncultured cyanobacterium. RNAcentral describes it as "bacterial SSU rRNA". It matches the Rfam family "Bacterial small subunit ribosomal RNA", at positions 357 to 804 of the family's 1533-position model. Lineage: Bacteria; Bacillati; Cyanobacteriota. The record is from RNAcentral.